RNAcentral lists this transfer RNA (64 nucleotides) under bovine gut metagenome. It matches the Rfam family "tRNA", at positions 5 to 66 of the family's 71-position model. Rfam says of the family: Transfer RNA (tRNA) molecules are approximately 80 nucleotides in length. Their secondary structure includes four short double-helical elements and three loops (D, anti-codon, and T loops). The record is from RNAcentral.
GGGUGGCGAAGUGGUGAACGUAUCGGUCUGCAAAACCGACAUUCGAGGGUUCGAAUCCCUCUCC